Molecule: ribosomal RNA, 179 nt
Filed under: Clostridioides difficile
Lineage: Bacteria; Bacillati; Bacillota; Clostridia; Peptostreptococcales; Peptostreptococcaceae
Description: partial 23S ribosomal RNA
Rfam family: Bacterial large subunit ribosomal RNA
Source: RNAcentral
GGGUAGCUAUGUACGGAAUGGAUAAGCGCUGAAAGCAUCUAAGCGCGAAGCCAACUUCAAGAUAAGAUUUCCCACCGCAAGGGUAAGACCCCAGAAAGACUAUCUGGUUGAUAGGUCGAAGGUGUAAGUGCAGCAAUGUAUUUAGCUUAUCGAUACUAAUAGGUCGAGGACUUGACCAA